Molecule: unclassified non-coding RNA, 299 nt
Filed under: plant metagenome
Description: partial contains small subunit ribosomal RNA and internal transcribed spacer 1
Rfam family: Eukaryotic small subunit ribosomal RNA (bases 1-46)
Source: RNAcentral
AAGUCGUAACAAGGUUUCCGUAGGUGAACCUGCGGAAGGAUCAUUAUUGAAUGAACUUGGUAGAUUGUAGCUGGCCAUUUCUGUGGCAUGUGCACGUCUAUCAUUUUUAAUCUUUCCACCUGUGCACGUUUUGUAGAUCAUUGAAUUACCUAUCCAAGGUGACUUGGGAUGGGAUUGCUGUGUAGAAAUACUUGGCUUUCCUUGGAUUUUCAAGAUCUAUGUUUUUUCAUAUUACACCAUAAAAAUUGUUAUAGAAAGUUAUUAUAUUGGCACCAGUGGCCUAUAAAAAGUAUAUACAA